CUCGAGGCCAGAUCUUUCCGGUUGAUCCUGCCGGACCUGACUGCUAUCGGAUUGAUACUAAGCCAUGCGAGUCUUUGUAGCAAUACAAGGCAGACGGCUCAGUAACACGUAGUCAAUCUACCCUAUGGACGGGGAUAACCUCGGGAAACUGAGAAUAAUACCCGAUAGAUCAUUAUGCCUGGAAUGGUUUAUGGUCGAAAUGAUUUAUCGCCGUAGGAUGGGACUGCGGUCUAUCAGCUUGUUGGUGAGGUAAUGGCCCACCAAGGCUAUAACAGAUACGGGCUCUGAGAGGAGAAGCCCGGAGAUGGGUACUGAGACACGGACCCAGGCCCUAUGGGGCGCAGCAGGCGAGAAAACUUUGCAAUGUGCGAAAGCACGACAAGGUUAAUCCGAGUGUUUUCUGCUAAAGAAAUCUUUUGUCAGUCCUAAAAGCACUGAUGAAUAAGGGGUGGGCAAGUUCUGGUGUCAGCCGCCGCGGUAAAACCAGCACCUCAAGUGGUCAGGAGGAUUAUUGGGCCUAAAGCAUCCGUAGCCGGCCGUGUAAGUUUUCGGUUAAA
Molecule: ribosomal RNA, 557 nt
Filed under: uncultured archaeon
Lineage: Archaea
Description: bacterial SSU rRNA
Rfam family: Archaeal small subunit ribosomal RNA
Source: RNAcentral